RNAcentral lists this ribosomal RNA (162 nucleotides) under uncultured bacterium. RNAcentral describes it as "partial 16S ribosomal RNA". It matches the Rfam family "Bacterial small subunit ribosomal RNA", at positions 1339 to 1500 of the family's 1533-position model. The record is from RNAcentral.
UAAUCGCGAAUCAGAAUGUCGCGGUGAAUACGUUCCCGGGUCUUGUACACACCGCCCGUCACACCAUGGGAGUCAGUAACGCCCGAAGUCAGUGACCCAACCAUAAGGAGGGAGCUGCCGAAGGCGGGACCGAUAACUGGGGUGAAGUCGUAACAAGGUAAC